AGCAUGGCAAAUAUAAGCCGAGCUAGGUUUCUUGUUCUGUUUCUCUCAGUCAUAUCUCGUUCUCUUUCUAAAGCAACUGCGCAGUAGAAUGGUGUGGAUAAAAAGGUUCUUGUGCGUAGGGAUUACUGUAUCUAUGUAUAUUAGGGAUGGGCGACUAUCUCAAAAUGAUCGAUUCUGAAUUGCAACCUUUAAGAUCAAUUCACUAGAAAAUCGAACCGUGAAAAAUCAAUUCUAUGAAAAUCGAUUUAAAAAUAAUUGGACCUAAAAUGCAAUGCUUUAAUUCUUAUGGCACUUUAAAAUCGAUUUACAAGAAAUCCAAGAAAAUACCACUCCUGCAAUACGACUUCGUCGUCAAAUUUUGAUUUGAACUUUUGCAAUAUAUUUUCUAUGUGGUUUUCAUGUUUUUGAAGAUCUAGAGCAACUGAUGGCUGCAAAAAUUUUAAUGAACUUAAAAAUAUAUCAUCAAAUGGCAGCAUAUCAACUGCGCUUUUAAAAGCUGCUUGAUAAAAAUUCUGACAAUUUGUAUAAAAUUGUUUAAUUUUCUCGGAUUCCACGCACUCACUAAUAGUGGAUUUACUCUUGCAACCAAUAUUUAUAUCAUUCUGAGGUAGCAAAUUUCUUUCGUUGUAAGGAUCUACUUCAUGUAAAUUUACAUUAUUUACAAUAUUUAAUUUCAAAAAAUUACAUCCUAAAUCUUUUAAUAGGUCAUGACAUUGUUCUACCAUGGUGCUUAUAUCGGCUUGCUUACUUUGGAAAAUUGUAUUGUAUUGUGUUAUUAUUUUCAAACUGUAAUUUAAAAAUUCUAAAUAUGCUUUAGUGCACGUUGAAUUUAAAUCCUCAAGAAUUUCUGUGGCACAUGUAUUAUUUUGGUCUUCAAAAUAUAUUAAUAAAAUGUCCCAUUGUUCUAAUAGUUUCACGACACAUUCGCGCAUUGAUAACCAUUUAGUUUUUGAUGGUUCCUGCAUUCUAUGUCUCGAUGCAAACAUUUGUAAUUCCACCAAUUUAUGGUUGCUCUUCCCACUCUGGUCAGUAUAGUUAAAAAUGCGAUGCAUUAUUAUAUUUACACUAUUUGGGAUGAAUUUACACGCAUUAAUAGUAAUAAGAUUUAGCUUCUGACAAAUACAGGGAAUUGUAAUUA
Long non-coding RNA from Megalopta genalis, 1138 nucleotides. RefSeq lists it as uncharacterized. NCBI's taxonomy places the organism in Eukaryota, Metazoa, Arthropoda, Insecta, Hymenoptera, Halictidae. The record is from RefSeq and is a predicted model, not a curated record.